Molecule: ribosomal RNA, 292 nt
Filed under: uncultured bacterium
Lineage: Bacteria
Description: partial 16S ribosomal RNA
Rfam family: Bacterial small subunit ribosomal RNA
Source: RNAcentral
GUGCCAGCCGCCGCGGUAAUACGUAGGGUGCGAGCGUUGUCCGGAAUUAUUGGGCGUAAAGGGCUCGUAGGCGGUUUGUCGCGUCGGGAGUGAAAUCCAUCAGCUUAACUGGUGGUCUGCUUCCGGUACGGGCAGACUGGAGGCAUGCAGGGGAGAACGGAAUUCCUGGUGUAGCGGUGAAAUGCGCAGAUAUCAGGAGGAACACCGGUGGCGAAGGCGGUUCUCUGGGCAUGUCCUGACGCUGAGGAGCGAAAGUGUGGGGAGCGAACAGGAUUAGAUACCCGGGUAGUCC